GAUGAACGCUGGCGGCGUGCCUAAUACAUGCAAGUCGAGCGAACGGACGAGAAGCUUGCUUCUCUGAUGUUAGCGGCGGACGGGUGAGUAACACGUGGAUAACCUACCUAUAAGACUGGGAUAACUUCGGGAAACCGGAGCUAAUACCGGAUGAUAUUUUGAACCGCAUGGUUCAAAAGUGAAAGACGGUCUUGCUGUCACUUAUAGAUGGAUCCGCGCUGCAUUAGCUAGUUGGUAAGGUAACGGCUUACCAAGGCAACGAUGCAUAGCCGACCUGAGAGGGUGAUAGGCCACACUGGAACUGAGACACGGUCCAGACUCCUAAGGGAGGCAGCAGUAGGGAAUCUUCCGCAAUGGGCGAAAGCAUGACGGAGCAACGCCGCGUGAGUGAUGAAGGUCUUCGGAUCGUAAAACUCUGUUAUUAGGGAAGAACAUAUGUGUAAGUAACUGUGCACAUCUUGACGGUACCUAAUCAGAAAGCCACGGCUAACUACGUG
Molecule: ribosomal RNA, 497 nt
Filed under: uncultured bacterium
Lineage: Bacteria
Description: partial 16S ribosomal RNA
Rfam family: Bacterial small subunit ribosomal RNA
Source: RNAcentral